CCAGUGGAAAGGUUUGAUAAUGUCUGUUCUUUUAUCGCUUUCUACAUUUGGUGCUAUAAUGGUUACUUGUGGGUUUUGUUGUAUCCCAUGCAUAAGAGGGCUUGCCAUGAGAGUGAUUUCUACAGCCAUUGAGAAGGCUCCAGGAUCGCCAUCGGGAUGCUGAUGCCUCUACUGGAGCAGCAUGACCUGGGAGAACUGGAGCUUGGCGAAUAGGGGUGAUCUCUCUGGGGAGAGAUCAAAAGGGGGAAUUGUAGAUGUAGUGAUUGUAUAAUUAGUGAACUGUUAUAAGCUGUUGUAACCAAUGAAACAAAAUAUUAAAUGUCUGUAAUAUGAACCGAAACUGAAGGAGCAAGUAGGAGAAUAGGAAACCCUGUUUAAGCAGUUGCCGGGGAGAGAAAGAUUUAGUAUGUCUGUUUUGUGAGAAACAGGUCACAGGUCAGAGACACACACACACAUAGUCGGACAGACAAGACAGAAACCAGAAAGGGGGGCAAGGGGAUACUUGCAGUUAUCCUAUAAGGAAUAAAACUGGGAUUGGGCCAAUGGCACACACUUUGUAAGUUAACGCCUCUAUCUUUUUGGGCGUAGUAGAAGUAUAAAAAUGAUGUUUUGACUGUUGAUCCUUAGACAUUGUGCGGCGACACGUGUCUCCAGAAGCUUCUGUAAUAAAUGGACGUAUAACUACGGUAAUUGCCCUGACUCCCUGUGUUUUAUUCUCCUUUCCAACAAACCAACUCGGGGAAGUGUUAUACUUCAACAUUUGUUGUGCUUUGUCAUGUUAAAUGUCAUUAAGAGUCAAACACAUUUAUUGUUUGAAAAUGUUUUAUUCCGUAAUGCCUACACUAAGGCCUUUACCAGGCCUACCGCAAAGGUAACUUUCUGCCGUGUGUUGAGCUAGUACAUGUAGGGAAAUCUAAACCAGAUGGAUAGAUAGAUAGAACUUUAUUGAUCACGAGGGGAAAUUGAGGUGUUGCAGCAGCAAAAUUCACACAGAUUACAAUAAAUCACAGACUAGACAUUUACACAAACUAAAGUGAGGUUGAAAUGUACAAAAUGUGCAUAUUAAAACAUAUGUUUACAAAUCUAAGAGGCGUACAUGUGCAACUGUGCACAUAUUCAGGAUGUACAAAAUAGUAUCCCUUUAUCAGUGCUAGUAUUGAGAGUGUUGAUGUUGAUGUAUGAUGUUAAACUAAGCAAUGUAAUGCCCUUUGAAAUUAACAUGUCAUUCAGUCUCCUCUCCCUGCCCAGAGGGGAGUUGUUGUGUAUUGUAAUGGCAGUGGGUAGGAAUGACUUGUGUAAAGGCCCUUGCUACAGCAGAGUUGUAGGAGUCUCCAGCUGAAUACACUCUGCUGCCCGACCAGCAGGUUGUGCAGCUGAUGUGAAGUUUUGUCUAAGAUGUUAAACAGUUUGUGUAACAUUCUUUUCUCCACAACCAACUCUAGGGGCUCCAGAGCAGACCCCAGCACAGAGCCAGCCCUCUUUAUUAGCUUGUUCAGUCUCUGAUGCUGCUGCCCAGAGGUGGGGGACUCGAGUCACAUGACUUGACUCGAGUCUGACUCGAGUCACAAUUUUCAGGACUUGUGACUUGCUUGAUUAAAGUAUGAAAAUGACUUGACUUGACUUUGACUUGAGAACAAGUUACUUGAGACUUGACUUGAAGUGGAAGACUGGACAAUGACUUGAACUUAUAAUAAACAAACAGCAAUAGGGCAAUUCCACGCAAAUGUCAACCUUGCUGUGAAAAAUUAAAGUUAUCAUAAAAAAAUCAAAACCCUUUCUAAGUUGUCCAUUUGGAUCUGUAUUUUAUUGUAUUGAUGUGCUGUCAUGUAAAUUUUAAGGACAUUUCUGUUUAUUCACCUCAGAUAAGGUGUGCACAGAUACUAAAAUUGCUUUUUUUAUACAAACCUAUUUCAUGCUUUAAAAAGAGGGAUCAAAGACUCCUUUAAUUAUACUUUAUGUUGAUAGUAAGGAUUUUGCAGAAAGAUGGGGGCAUGACUGAGAUAUAAAUACACUCACUUUUCUUAUAACUGCAUUUCCCUUUAAAUUUAUAAAGGCUAUAUUUAGGAAGUCACGACGCUUAAGUGCUGUGUCCGUAACGAUUUAAAGAAUAAGUUUAGAUUGUAUAAUCAUUAUUAUUACAAUUAAUUUGAAACUUUAUGUACAAAGCCAAAAUAUGUCCAUUCUAGUUAUGAUUGACAAAUCAUCUCAC
This is a long non-coding RNA of Esox lucius (northern pike), 2209 nucleotides long. Lineage: Eukaryota; Metazoa; Chordata; Actinopteri; Esociformes; Esocidae. The record is from Ensembl.